GACGAACGUUGGCGGCGUGCUUAAUACAUGCAAGUCAACUGAAGCAGUGGUAGCAAUAUCGCUGUGGAGGUGGCGCACGGGUGAGUAACACGUAGGUAAUCUGCCUUCAGGUCUGGCAUAACUCCGGGAAACCGGGGCUAAUAGCAGAUGAUGCAGCGGCUCGACAUCGAGACAGUUGUUAAAGCUAUGGCGCCUGAAGAUGAGCCUGUGUCUGAUUAGCUAGUUGGCGGGGUAACGGCCCACCAAGGCAACGAUCAGUAGCUGGUCUGAGAGGAUGAUCAGCCACACUGGAACUGAGACACGGUCCAGACUCCUACGGGAGGCAGCAGUAAGGAAUAUUGCUUAAUGGGAGAAAUCCUGAAGCAGCAACGCCGCGUGAGGGACGAAGGGCUUUUGCUUGUAAACCUCUGUAGUGAGAGAAAAAAAUCCCAAUCUUUGGGACAUGAUGGUAUCUCAAAAGUAAGCCCCGGCUAACUACGUG
This 481-nucleotide ribosomal RNA is filed under the name uncultured bacterium. RNAcentral describes it as "partial 16S ribosomal RNA". It matches the Rfam family "Bacterial small subunit ribosomal RNA", at positions 28 to 507 of the family's 1533-position model. The record is from RNAcentral.